UAUUCAUCUCAAAGUAGGCUGCA
Molecule: non-coding RNA, 23 nt
Filed under: Arabidopsis thaliana (thale cress)
Lineage: Eukaryota; Viridiplantae; Streptophyta; Magnoliopsida; Brassicales; Brassicaceae
Source: RNAcentral